This 449-nucleotide ribosomal RNA is filed under the name uncultured bacterium. RNAcentral's name for it is "partial 16S ribosomal RNA". It matches the Rfam family "Bacterial small subunit ribosomal RNA", at positions 29 to 523 of the family's 1533-position model. The record is from RNAcentral.
AACGAACGCUGGCGGCAUGCCUAAUACAUGCAAGUCGAACGAGAUCUUCGGGUCUAGUGGCGCACGGGUGCGUAACGCGUGGGAAUCUGCCCUUUGGUUCGGAAUAACAGUUGGAAACGACUGCUAAUACCGGAUGAUGACGAAAGUCCAAAGAUUUAUCGCCAGAGGAUGAGCCCGCGUAGGAUUAGCUAGUUGGUGUGGUAAAGGCGCACCAAGGCGACGAUCCUUAGCUGGUCUGAGAGGAUGAUCAGCCACACUGGGACUGAGACACGGCCCAGACUCCUACGGGAGGCAGCAGUGGGGAAUAUUGGACAAUGGGCGAAAGCCUGAUCCAGCAAUGCCGCGUGAGUGAUGAAGGCCUUAGGGUUGUAAAGCUCUUUUACCCGGGAUGAUAAUGACAGUACCGGGAGAAUAAGCCCCGGCUAACUCCGUGCCAGCCGCCGCAGUAA